Molecule: small RNA, 82 nt
Filed under: Prunus dulcis (almond)
Lineage: Eukaryota; Viridiplantae; Streptophyta; Magnoliopsida; Rosales; Rosaceae
Description: sRNA ncRNA
Source: RNAcentral
GCCGAGUCAAGUCACGCUGACUUGUGACCCAAAGUGGGGGCAAUAAGGAUGGCAUGGAAGGGAAGAGUGUGUAACGUCGUCC